AUGGUGGCUGGUGAUGAGAUUCACGGCGAAGAAGACGAUUUGCGGUGGCCAGAAAUGGAGUUCACGGUGGUGGUCGACUGGAGCUCACGGCGGCGCCACCGUGAAAUAACAACAACAAAUAACUCAGAAGCACAAGAAAUGAGAGGGGAGUCGCGUUCAGAGAAAGAAUAUCAUCCUUGUGAUGGAAGAAGAGUGAAGAACAUAGGACGGAAGAGCUCCGACAGUGGUUAG
RNAcentral lists this long non-coding RNA (231 nucleotides) under Vicia faba (fava bean). The record is from RNAcentral. Lineage: Eukaryota; Viridiplantae; Streptophyta; Magnoliopsida; Fabales; Fabaceae.